GCCUAUUUAGCUUGGUUGGUAGCGUGUCUGUCUUGUAAGCGUUAGGCUGCGGGUUCGAUUCCCGCCAGGGGCG
RNAcentral lists this transfer RNA (73 nucleotides) under Diaphorina citri (Asian citrus psyllid). It matches the Rfam family "tRNA". Rfam says of the family: Transfer RNA (tRNA) molecules are approximately 80 nucleotides in length. Their secondary structure includes four short double-helical elements and three loops (D, anti-codon, and T loops). The record is from Rfam by way of RNAcentral. Lineage: Eukaryota; Metazoa; Arthropoda; Insecta; Hemiptera; Psyllidae.